UACGAAGGGGGCUAGCGUUGUUCGGAAUUACUGGGCGUAAAGCGCACGUAGGCGGCUUUGUAAGUUAGAGGUGAAAGCCCGGAGCUCAACUUCGGAAUUGCCUUUAAGACUGCAUCGCUUGAAUCAUGGAGAGGUCAGUGGAAUUCCGAGUGUAGAGGUGAAAUUCGUAGAUAUUCGGAAGAACACCAGUGGCGAAGGCGACUGACUGGACAUGUAUUGACGCUGAGGUGCGAAAGCGUGGGGAGCAAACAGG
This 253-nucleotide ribosomal RNA is filed under the name uncultured bacterium. RNAcentral describes it as "partial 16S ribosomal RNA". It matches the Rfam family "Bacterial small subunit ribosomal RNA", at positions 524 to 776 of the family's 1533-position model. The record is from RNAcentral.